UCGUUCCAACUCGGAGUAACAUCGUCUGCCAACUCAGUUCCUCCCGAGUCGCGUUCUCAUUCCAACUCGGCCAUGGCUUCGGUCCAUGCCACAGCUCCUCAGAGGUUCACAUCCUUCACCACAGCAAAACGAGCUCCAGCGCCCUCUCAUCCACGCGCCGCCCUCAAUUUCCACGCGCCGAAGCCUCCGGAGCGUUCGAUUUUCUCGAGAAACGGGCAGAGGUCGAAUUGGGCGUUGAACUCGGCGGUAGAAGAGCUCGAUGUUAUCCCGGUGCAGAGCACUGAUUUCACCGACCAGCAGGAAGGCGUGGCGGUGGGACGGGUGGAGAGGGAUGGCGUGGAAGGAGAACUGGGGAGUGCGGUAGGUGGAUUCGGCGAGCUCUCGUUGGGAGGUGCUGGUGAAAUUCAGGGGUUUUCUUCUUCUGCUUCUGUUGGCGAUGGCGGUGGCGGUGGAACAGAGAACGAGGAAAUGGAGAGGGUUAUGAUUGAUCGGAUUAUAAAUGCGACCAUUGUUCUUGCGGCGGGUUCUUAUGCUCUCACGAAGUUGCUUACCAUCGAUCAAGAUUAUUGGCAUGGAUGGACACUUUAUGAAAUACUGAGAUAUGCCCCUCAACACAACUGGAGUGCUUAUGAGGAAGCUCUUAAGACGCACCCAGUUCUCGCUAAAAUGGUGAUUAGUGGAGUGGUGUACUCUCUUGGAGAUUGGAUUGCACAGUGUUUCGAAGGAAAACCUCUGUUUGAAUUUGAUCGCACACGGAUGUUCAGAUCAGGCCUCGUUGGUUUUUCUCUACAUGGUUCCCUUUCCCACUACUACUAUCAUUUUUGUGAGGGUCUUUUUCCUUUUCAAGAUUGGUGGGUAGUUCCUGCAAAAGUAGCAUUCGAUCAAACGGCAUGGUCAGCAGUUUGGAACAGUAUUUAUUUUGUGGUAUUAGGAUUCUUGCGGCUCGAGUCCCCAGUUUCUAUAUUUAAUGAACUAAAGGCGACAUUUUGGCCUAUGCUUACCGCCGGUUGGAAACUUUGGCCGUUUGCUCAUCUUAUCACAUACGGUGUUAUUCCUGUAGAACAAAGACUCCUGUGGGUUGAUUGUGUGGAGCUUAUAUGGGUGACCAUACUCUCAACUUAUUCAAACGAGAAAUCGGAGGCCAGAAUCUCCGAGGUAGCAACAGAUUCCAGUUCAGAUUCCCUUCCCACAGAUUCAACUCAGGACUAAGCUUGCAGGAAAAACCAUGUAGGAUCUGAAGAUGGAACCAUUUGUUGCUCAGUUCGACUCCAAGAGUCUCAAGAAAUAUUCUAGUUCCAUUGGCUCUUCAAGCUUUAUCCAUGGUGCCAAAGAUCAGAAAGCUGCAGAAAAAACUUCUUGAAGCCUAAGUUCUUUCACCAUUAAUUCUUCUAUCAAAACUGCUAUGGGGUUAAGUGAGCUGAAGAUAAGAACCACCAUGGAUUUGGCUAAAAUGUACAAGCUAUACUUUGGAUGUCGUUGGGAUUAUAAUUAGAUAUCGUAUGAGUUCUCUGACUAUGGUCGUACAGAAUCAAGGGGUUAGUUUGCAAGAUUAGUUGAGAUGUCCAUGAACCAACUUGAACAUCUUUAUGUUAUCAUUCAUUGUUUUGCUUGGUUCACAACAAGAAUGAAGGACCUAAGCUGCAAUUCUCAUCAAAUAUGGUCCUUUUGGGCAAAUUAAUUGGAAAAGGGAAAUUAGAGAAGCUCCUUGUAUUUUCUGGAAUAUGUAGGAUGUUCUUUUUAGGGGAUGGAACAGGAAUAAAUAGGGGUAUGGCGGAUGGGGAUUCCAUUGAACACAAAGACCCCACAUGUAAUACAAAUCCAGCGCCAUUUAUUAUUCUUUCUCA
Molecule: RNA transcript, 1844 nt
Organism: Benincasa hispida (wax gourd)
Lineage: Eukaryota; Viridiplantae; Streptophyta; Magnoliopsida; Cucurbitales; Cucurbitaceae
Source: RefSeq, a predicted model, not a curated record